AACUUCUCCCCCAUAUUUUAAGCCACCCCCCAAACACACCAGCAAAGCAAUCAAAGAAUCAACCAAUCCAAUCAAGGCCAGAAGGGUUCCAGCAAGAAGCCUUUCUUUCCAAGGCUUUGCUUAGCUAAUCUCUCCUACCUACUGGAUCUCCCUUGCAUUAUAUAUAAUAGCCUCCAGUGAUCUCGUCUUCUCAACACAAGCACACCAGAUUUGCAUGCAUUGCAAGUAGUGUUCUUCUUGCUAAGUGCUGCAGACCAUUCGGCCAAGAAGC
RNAcentral lists this long non-coding RNA (271 nucleotides) under Oryza brachyantha (malo sina). RNAcentral's name for it is "long non-coding RNA (OBRA_LNC001496)". Lineage: Eukaryota; Viridiplantae; Streptophyta; Magnoliopsida; Poales; Poaceae. The record is from RNAcentral.